UAGGGAAUCUUCCACAAUGGGCGAAAGCCUGAUGGAGCAACGCCGCGUGUGUGAUGAAGGGUUCCGGCUCGUAAAACACUGUUGUAAGAGAAGAAUGACAUUGAGAGUAACUGUUCAAUGUGUGACGGUAUCUUACCAGAAAGGAACGGCUAAAUACGUGCCCAG
This 165-nucleotide ribosomal RNA is filed under the name uncultured bacterium. Its description in RNAcentral is "partial 16S rRNA". It matches the Rfam family "Bacterial small subunit ribosomal RNA", at positions 355 to 512 of the family's 1533-position model. The record is from RNAcentral.